Molecule: unclassified non-coding RNA, 551 nt
Filed under: Hevea brasiliensis (rubber tree)
Lineage: Eukaryota; Viridiplantae; Streptophyta; Magnoliopsida; Malpighiales; Euphorbiaceae
Source: RNAcentral
GUCAGACAGGCCCAUCCUAUAAAAGAUGUCACGCAGAUGUGGUGCACCUUUUUUGGCAUCAGGAAGUCGGCCUUCCCUGGGACAAAUGUUUGAAUCCUUUCUACCGGGAACAAAGUCAAUGGUGGGGCCUCCAGUGACCUCAACAGCAACAACGCCAGCUAGCUGGUACAGGUCUGCAUAAGUAAUCUUCGGAUGUUUAGACUUCACUUCCUCACAAAAAUCAAUAGCUUUUUUCAGUCCAUUAUUAGAACCAUGAGAAAACUCCUCCUCGUUCCUAAUCGAUCCAUUAGGCCCACCAGUUUUUGUAGUCACAUCGUAUGUGCCAGCGUCAUGCCAAGCUAAACGAAGCAUGAUGGGAGCGCAGUUCCGAUUGGCAAUGAGAGCGCGGAGGUCACGGCGAGCCUUGUCGAUCUCUUUGAGGUACUCUGUGUCUACGACGGAUAACGCCAUGGGAGGAGGCUACAGAGCACCAAAACGGACGGCGUUUGAUUUGUAGAGAAGAGAGAUUACCUCGAAGUUAGCAAAAAUCUGCUCCCCCAAUUUGAUAACGC